GAUGAACGCUGGCGGCGUGCCUAACACAUGCAAGUCGAGCGAAGCGCUUACUUUAGAUUUCUUCGGAAUGACGAGGUUUGUGACUGAGCGGCGGACGGGUGAGUAACGCGUGGGCAACCUGCCCUGUACAGGGGGAUAACAGUUAGAAAUGACUGCUAAUACCGCAUAAGCCCACAGCUUCGCAUGAAGCAGUGGGAAAAACUCCGGUGGUACAGGAUGGGCCCGCGUCUGAUUAGCUAGUUGGUAAGGUAACGGCUUACCAAGGCGACGAUCAGUAGCCGACCUGAGAGGGUGACCGGCCACAUUGGGACUGAGACACGGCCCAAACUCCUACGGGAGGCAGCAGUGGGGAAUAUUGCACAAUGGGGGAAACCCUGAUGCAGCGACGCCGCGUGAGCGAUGAAGUAUUUCGGUAUGUAAAGCUCUAUCAGCAGGGAAGAAAGUGACGGUACCUGACUAAGAAGCCCCGGCUAACUACGUGCCAGCAGCCGCGGUAAUACGUAGGGGGCAAGCGUUAUCCGGAUUUACUGGGUGUAAAGGGAGCGUAGACGGAAGUGCAAGUCUGAAGUGAAAGCCCGGGGCUCAACCCCGGGACUGCUUUGGAAACUGUAUUUCUAGAGUGCUGGAGAGGUAAGUGGAAUUCCUAGUGUAGCGGUGAAAUGCGUAGAUAUUAGGAGGAACACCAGUGGCGAAGGCGGCUUACUGGACAGUGACUGACGUUGAGGCUCGAAAGCGUGGGGAACAAACAGGAUUAGAUACCCUGGUAGUCCACGCCGUAAACGAUGACUACUAGGUGUCGGUGAGCAAAGCUCAUCGGUGCCGCAGCAAACGCAAUAAGUAGUCCACCCUGGGGAGUACGUUCGCAAGAAUGAAACUCAAAGGAAUUGACGGGGACCCGCACAAGCGGUGGAGCAUGUGGUUUAAUUCGAAGCAACGCGAAGAACCUUACCUGAUCUUGACAUCCCGGUGACCGCAGAGUAAUGUCUGUUUUCCUUCGGGACACCGGUGACAGGUGGUGCAUGGUUGUCGUCAGCUCGUGUCGUGAGAUGUUGGGUUAAGUCCCGCAACGAGCGCAACCCUUAUCCUUAGUAGCCAGCAUUGAGGUGGGCACUCUAAGGAGACUGCCAGGGACAACCUGGAGGAAGGUGGGGAUGACGUCAAAUCAUCAUGCCCCUUAUGACCAGGGCUACACACGUGCUACAAUGGCGUAAACAAAGGGAAGCGAGCCUGCGAAGGUAAGCAAAACCCAAAAAUAACGUCUCAGUUCGGAUUGUAGUCUGCAACUCGACUACAUGAAGCUGGAAUCGCUAGUAAUCGCGGAUCAGAAUGCCGCGGUGAAUACGUUCCCGGGUCU
Molecule: ribosomal RNA, 1354 nt
Filed under: uncultured bacterium
Lineage: Bacteria
Description: bacterial SSU rRNA
Rfam family: Bacterial small subunit ribosomal RNA
Source: RNAcentral